RNAcentral lists this signal recognition particle RNA (299 nucleotides) under Saimiri boliviensis boliviensis (Bolivian squirrel monkey). Its description in RNAcentral is "Metazoan signal recognition particle RNA (ENSSBOG00000002929.1)". It matches the Rfam family "Metazoan signal recognition particle RNA". From Rfam's summary of the family: The signal recognition particle (SRP) is a universally conserved ribonucleoprotein. It is involved in the co-translational targeting of proteins to membranes. The eukaryotic SRP consists of a 300-nucleotide 7S RNA and six proteins: SRPs 72, 68, 54, 19, 14, and 9. The record is from RNAcentral. Lineage: Eukaryota; Metazoa; Chordata; Mammalia; Primates; Cebidae.
GUCAGGAGCGUUGGUGCGUGCCUGUAGUCCCAGCUACCUGGGAGGCUGAGGUGGGAGGAUUGCUUGAGCCCAGGAGUUCUGGGCUGUAGUGUGCUAGGCCAAUCGGGUGUCCGCACUAAGUUCAGCAUGAAUAAGGUGACCUCCAGGAAGCAGGGGACCACCAGGUUGCCUAAUGAGGGGUGAACCGGCCCAGGGUGGAAACAGAGCAGGUCAAAACUCCUGUGCUGCUCAGUAAUGGGAUGGCACCUGUGUAUAGCCAUUGCACUCCAGCCUGGGCAACAUAGCGAGACCCUGGGUCU